RNAcentral lists this long non-coding RNA (1120 nucleotides) under Podarcis lilfordi (Lilford's wall lizard). The record is from RNAcentral. Lineage: Eukaryota; Metazoa; Chordata; Lepidosauria; Squamata; Lacertidae.
AAUGGCGACGAAGGUAGCGGCUUAGUAAAGGCGGCUUAGUUAACUUCGUCUGCCUUUAGAUUAAGUUUUAAGUAGUUUUAAGUAGUUAUUUUAACCCCCCUCUGGGUUUUUAUUGUUUUAUUGUUUUUAGACUAAGCUUCAAGUAGUUCUAAGUAGUUUCUUUUAACCCCUCCGGGCUUUUAUUGCUUUAUUGUUUUAUUACCUGCUUCGUGCUUCAGCCUUGCUGCCUUGCCGCACCCCCCGCUGUGCAUUUGGUGCUGAGGAGCUGAGUAAUCUUCUGAGACGAGUGAGUGGGGAAGGGAAGAGGUCUGGCUGACUCCCCUGCCGUGAAGGGACUCCCCGUCACUGGAAAGGAGAGGGCUCGGGCUCCACCAGGGAAACAUACUGAGAGCCAGCGCUCGCUGAUGAGCUAAGCAGGAGAAAGCUGCAGAUUCAUCCCUACUCAUCCAUUGGCCCUGCUAAUUAGGCAGAAACACUGGGGGACAACUGGUUUUCUAAUAGGAAGACAACUAUCCAACAUGGUCCUCACUAGAAAGUUGUGUAAGGAGUUGGGUAUCUUGCCAGAUACGCCACUUAGCCCCCCGGGACCUGGAAAGAGACAAAGUAAAAUUAUAAAUUACUUCCCCAAGAGGGAGGAAUGCAUGAGUGAACAAAUUGAACCAAUUAUUGACGAAGUCACUCCUCUCCCCUUACUUACCUUGACCGGUCACAUUACUUCAAAGAGCUUCAACACAACUCUGGAAACACAAAUUCCCCAAGAAGCCUGGCGCAAGAGCUAGUUCUAGCUGAGAAACCUGUGGAAAAUAUUUCUGUCACCUAUAACCAGCGGCCCCUGGCAGAAUUAACAACAUGCCACCAAGACCAGGCGCCCACUUCCAAAUAUACUCAAACUGAACUGAGUGAUGGCCAUCUUCAGGCCCAUUUCCAAGAUAUAAAUAUAGACCUUUCCAACAUAAAAAAUUACUUGACAAUAACAAAUGGGUUAUUGCUGACCCUUGUGGAAAAUUUUAUUCCCCAACCAAAAGAGACAACAGCAACCGAUGCACCCCAAGUGCAUAAACCAGAUGAACUUGUGCAUAACCCAGAUGAACUAGUGAAGAUGAGACAAGCAGUAACAACC